GCAGAGACGCUCUCUAGAUUAUUGAAUUGAUUUGAUCUUUUGAUCCUAUUCUCAAGAGAAUCAAACACAUCUGUAGAAGGAACUUGAAAUCAGAUCAAAUCUGAUUUCUUUACCUAUUUUCCUCUUCUCAAGAAAAAAUCCAAGAUCUACAGAAGAAAAUAAGAGAUCAAAUAUCUUGAUUUUUCUUCUUAUCCAACUUUUGAACUAGAUUUGAGGAGAAGAAGAGGAGAACCGUCCAUCUCAUGGAUCAAG
RNAcentral lists this long non-coding RNA (252 nucleotides) under Elaeis guineensis (African oil palm). RNAcentral's name for it is "long non-coding RNA (EGUI_LNC007479)". The record is from RNAcentral. Lineage: Eukaryota; Viridiplantae; Streptophyta; Magnoliopsida; Arecales; Arecaceae.